AGGACAAAAGACUUAGUCCUAACCUUGCAGUUAAUUCUUGCUAAAUAUAUACAUGCAAGUAUCCGCACGCCAGUGUAAAUGCCCUCGGCCCCUAGUCCAAGGAUCAGAGGAGCGGGUAUCAGGCACACCCAUAAUAGUAGCCCAAGACACCUUGCUUAGCCACACCCUCACGGGUACUCAGCAGUAAUUAACAUUAAGCAAUAAGUGUAAACUUGACUUAGUUAUAGCAACAUUCUAAGGGUUGGUAAAUCUUGUGCCAGCCACCGCGGUCACACAAGAGACCCAAAUUAACUGUAACACGGCGUAAAGAGUGGCACCAUGUUAUCUCAGUAACUAGGGUCAAAGUGUAACUGAGCUGUCAUAAGCUUAAGAUCCACCUAAGGCCACCCUAAACAUGAUCCUAGCUCUUACGAUCAAUUAAAUGCCACGAAAGCUAGGGCACAAACUGGGAUUAGAUACCCCACUAUGCCUAGCCCUAAAUCUUGAUACUUCCACCACUAAAGUAUCCGCCUGAGAACUACGAGCACAAACGCUUAAAACUCUAAGGACUUGGCGGUGCUCCAAACCCACCUAGAGGAGCCUGUCCUGUAAUCGAUAACCCACGAUAUACCUGACCACUUCUUGCCAACGCAGCCUACAUACCGCCGUCGCCAGCUCACCUCCCCUGAGAGAGCCACAGUGAGCAUAAUAGCCCACCACGCUAACAAGACAGGUCAAGGUAUAGCUUAUGAAGUGGAAGAGAUGGGCUACAUUUUCUAAAGUAGAAAACCCUACGAAAGAGGGCAUGAAACUGCCCCCGGAAGGCGGAUUUAGCAGUAAAGGAGGAUAAUAAAGCCCCCUUUAAGCUGGCUCUGGAGCACGUACAUACCGCCCGUCACCCUCCUCACAAGCUAUAAAUAAGCAUAACUAAUACGCACAGCAGCUGAAGACGAGGUAAGUCGUAACAAGGUAAGUGUACCGGAAGGUGCACUUAGCAUACCAAGACG
Ribosomal RNA from Pelecanus crispus (Dalmatian pelican), 986 nucleotides. It matches the Rfam family "Bacterial small subunit ribosomal RNA". The record is from Rfam. Lineage: Eukaryota; Metazoa; Chordata; Aves; Pelecaniformes; Pelecanidae.